Molecule: long non-coding RNA, 1640 nt
Filed under: Bemisia tabaci
Lineage: Eukaryota; Metazoa; Arthropoda; Insecta; Hemiptera; Aleyrodidae
Description: lncRNA ENSASIAIIG002335
Source: RNAcentral
AUGUCUAGCCUAAGAAGGUGUUCUUCUGAUAUCUUGUGCUUAAUUUCCUAUCGUCCUAAUUAUAUAUCCUUCUUUUGCCUUCCAUGUUUAACCGCAACUGCAGUUGCACCUCCUAUUUCUAUCUCUUAUUUUUAUAUGCUUUUUUCUCUCCUUCUUUCUAGUCGAUGCUCAAAUUGUAAGCUUACUUUUUUGUUGCUAUUUUUGGAUGAAUUUAAUGGUAAAUUUCUUUGGAAAUUUGUCUCUGAGGGAAUUGUAUGUCUUCUCUGGAAACAUAGUAUAAACAUAUCUGAUUCGAAUUAUUUGUCCAGGUAUUUCAUGACUGAAAUAAUCGUGUGUCAGCUUGUCGUCUGCUAAAUAACCUCCAUGUUUUCCCUUAUACACAAUUAAACACACCUCGUGUUUCCUUCCACUGUCAAUCUAAUUGUACUUUGACUCUCAGUCAAUUUUAACCAUGGUAGAAGAGUGGGAGUUGCAAAGUUAGUAGCACAAUUAGCAUCAAGUUUGCCAUGCAAGUCAAAAUUUAUGAAUCUGAGAGUAUUAGAAGCUCCAAUAGAUCAUUAAACUAAAUCAAUCAAGUUUAAAUUGAAUUUAUCUUCAAAAAAUUCAUUCAUUGAAACUCGAUUUCCCAUGUCGCAAAACCCAUACCUCUGUAAGUUUUAAAUAGCAUUAUGUGCUAAGGCAAGUCUAACAUUUUAGGGGGGGUUUGACCCUCAGCUAUAAGUUUCAAAACGACACUGGAGACUCUCUAAACAUCUGAAGACUUGAUAAUAACAGGCUAAGGGCGAAAAAGAAAGAAAAGAAAAAAUCAAAAAUUGAGUUAUGCGAGGCUUUUUGUUCCAAACACCGCAUAACAGGUUUAGUUCCACCAACAAUAGAGCACUGCGUAUAACGUCUAAAAGGUAGCAUUAAUCUUAUGCUCCACAGUAGUUGUCAGAAAUGAAAAUGUGAAUAACCUGAAAUCAACUUUUUGGCACCCAGCGCUUCAUUAAUGUUAAUAAGCCUCUAUGUGUUGUUACUUUAUGCCAAGCAAUUUUUUAUUAUCAUUCAUUAGGAAUUUUUUUCUGAUAAAACAGUAGUACAUGUGCUGAACUUAACCUCCUAUUCCCUAACUAAUAAUUAGAUUUGAUUGCUUAUUAAUGCAAGCAUUAUAACAGCAAGCACUGGACAUUUUCCCAUCCCACCUCUUCUGUUUAAGUAUUUUGUCUCCCUCAAUGAUUUUUAUUUUAUAUCGAAAGCAUGACUUAAUAAGUUAAUUUGACAUUUUAUAGUCUGUUCAUCAAGCCAGUAACAAUUUUUAUUAUUUAUUCUCUUUUUCUCUUUUUAAAUGAUCGGUAUAUGCGUCUAUGUAAAUUCAGAGACUGAAAAAUUUUGCUGACAUAUUGUCCUUAGAUUAUUUUAAGAUUCAUAUUACUUCAGUUUUGUGAUUUGAAGGAAAAUAAUGUAAAUAAAAACCACUCAAACUGUUUUGUAGUGAAUUUUUAUUUCUCCAUUUUAGCGUUUAAUGAAUGUGACCGUUCGUGAAAAGAGGGACCUUAGCGCUGAAAAACUAAUUUUGUGUCAAAAAUAGUUUGUAAUUGCCGCCAUUGUAUUGAGGAGCAUUUUACAAAUAUUAUUGCACAAAAAAAUUCUAAUGAAUUUCU